AACGAACGCUGGCGGCAGGCUUAACACAUGCAAGUCGAACGCACCUUUCGGGGUGAGUGGCAGACGGGUGAGUAACGCGUGGGAAUCUACCCUUCUCUACGGGAUAGCUCCGGGAAACUGGAAUUAAUACCGUAUACGUCCUGAGGGAGAAAGAUUUAUCGGGGAAGGAUGAGCCCGCGUUGGAUUAGCUAGUUGGUGGGGUAAAGGCCUACCAAGGCGACGAUCCAUAGCUGGUCUAAGAGGAUGAUCAGCCACAUUGGGACUGAGACACGGCCCAAACUCCUACGGGAGGCAGCAGUGGGGAAUAUUGGACAAUGGGCGCAAGCCUGAUCCAGCCAUGCCGCGUGAGUGAUGAAGGCCCUAGGGUUGUAAAGCCCUUUCAGUGGGGACGAUAAUGACGGUACCCACAGAAGAAGCCCCGGCUAACUUCGUG
This 433-nucleotide ribosomal RNA is filed under the name uncultured bacterium. Its description in RNAcentral is "partial 16S ribosomal RNA". It matches the Rfam family "Bacterial small subunit ribosomal RNA", at positions 29 to 507 of the family's 1533-position model. The record is from RNAcentral.